GGGCCCGCACAAGCGGCGGAGCAUGCGGCUUAAUUCGAUGCAACGCGAAGAACCUUACCUAGGCUUGACAGUUGGGAAAACUGGCAGAGAUGUCAGGUCCGUAAGGGCCCCAAAACAGGUGGUGCAUGGCUGUCGUCAGCUCGUGUCGUGAGAUGUUGGGUUAAGUCCCGCAACGAGCGCAACCCUCGUCGUAUGUUGCCAGCGGAUAACGCCGGGGACUCAUACGAGACUGCCGGGGUCAACUCGGAGGAAGGUGGGGACGACGUCAAGUCAUCACGGCCCUUACGUCCUGGCUACACACGUGCUACAAUGGUCGGUACAGAGAGCAGCCACUACGCGAGUAG
RNAcentral lists this ribosomal RNA (344 nucleotides) under uncultured bacterium. RNAcentral describes it as "bacterial SSU rRNA". It matches the Rfam family "Bacterial small subunit ribosomal RNA", at positions 917 to 1264 of the family's 1533-position model. The record is from RNAcentral.